UGGUCAUUUUUAAAAAAAAUGUUUUUUUCAUGUAAAGUUUAAAAAAAUGUUUAAACAGUUUAAAAUUUUUGUAUAGCCGCAAAACUCCUGUGUUGUUAUAUGGGGCUGCAGCUUGAGCUAAUGUGUCAUAAUGGACACAAACGUUGGUAUCGACACCUAACAUCAGUCAUAGAAAUCUUAUAACUCACGACAAGAAGUCCGAAGUUGGUCAUGUGAUCGCACAAACACUCGGGGUCGCCGGGGGUUCCCGUUGCUUGGCAACCAUCGAACAUCCAAUCCUGCGCUUCCACGUUCCAAUAACCACAACGAUAUAUACGUUUCGUCUGCGAGUGAGUUUGUAUUGAGAGGGGGGAUAGCAAUUAUAGGGGGAGUGGAAGAUUGUAUUGGAACGGCUGUUGAAGUCGCUUCACCGAUGUCAGGUUGAUUUGUGCGGAUAAUACCUGAGGUUUGUACGGCACGUUACUCGAGGGGGGGAAAAGAGAAUUAUCGCGGUGAAGGAAAAAGGCAACAUUGAACACCGGGUGGGGGUCAUGUGACUUGUUGGCAACCAUCGCCAUGGUAGCGCUCGGUACAAGCGCUCUGAUUGGUUUGUUUGAAUUUGAAUCCACGAAUACAACGUCGGCGUAUUGACCAUGGUUGGUUGGUACGCUGCGUUGGACCUGGGGUGGAAGGUUGUGUUAUUGUAAUAUGCAAUAUAACGAAAAGGUUUACAGAUUACAGUUGGUGAUAUGCUAACAGCCACGGGUAUGCAUUGCAGCGAGAGGUUACCGGGUUCAAAGCUCAAAGCUGCCACCGUUGCAGGCGUAUGUGUCCUUGGGCAGGAUACUUAACGGCAAUUGUUCCAACCCAGUGGUCUCUAAUGGGUUGUCCAAAUUGUCAGCCAUACAGAUAAAAACAAUCACCUACAAAGUUACAUACGUGGCAACUUGUAAGCGGGCACGAGGUGUAUGAAACAGAACACCCAUAUUAUAACGACUGUCGUUUUCCCGUCACACAAGUUAGUCCCACCCACAUACUUACCAUGGCUUUAAUACUUGGCGUGCUGUAUUCAAACUUGCCGCUACUCCCAAGAUCCAGAUGAGCGGCGAACACACUUAGUGAUUGUAGUAAUACAUCCUGUUGAGGUGGGGGGGACGAUGCUGCCGGUGGUUCACUGGUGGGGAGGUUGCUUAUCGAUACCAUCAAGCAUAUCAUUGUGGAGGGUUUAAUCUGUGGUAACAUUUAACAGGUUUAAUCUGUAGCAUUUUCUUCGUUGUUUUAAUUAAAAACUAAUUCGUUCGAAGAAACAAAUCAAAUAAUAUUUCAUUCAAA
Ciona intestinalis (vase tunicate) is the source of this 1311-nucleotide non-coding RNA. The record is from RefSeq and is a predicted model, not a curated record. NCBI's taxonomy places the organism in Eukaryota, Metazoa, Chordata, Ascidiacea, Phlebobranchia, Cionidae.